UACAGAGGGUGCGAGCGUUGUCCGGAAUCACUGGGCGUAAAGGGCGCGUAGGCGGCUUGCUAAGUAGGGGGUGAAAUCUUGCGGCUCAACUGCAAGGCUGCCUCCUAAACUGUCAGGCUUGAGCACAGUAGAGGCAGGUGGAAUUCUCGGUGUAGCGGUGGAAUGCGUAGAGAUCGGGAAGAACAUCGGUGGCGAAGGCGGCCUGCUGGGCUGUUGCUGACGCAGAGGCGCGACAGCGUGGGGAGCAAACAGG
RNAcentral lists this ribosomal RNA (253 nucleotides) under uncultured Gemmatimonas sp. RNAcentral describes it as "partial 16S ribosomal RNA". It matches the Rfam family "Bacterial small subunit ribosomal RNA", at positions 524 to 776 of the family's 1533-position model. The record is from RNAcentral. Lineage: Bacteria; Pseudomonadati; Gemmatimonadota; Gemmatimonadia; Gemmatimonadales; Gemmatimonadaceae.